Triticum urartu is the source of this 551-nucleotide non-coding RNA. The record is from RefSeq and is a predicted model, not a curated record. Lineage: Eukaryota; Viridiplantae; Streptophyta; Magnoliopsida; Poales; Poaceae.
ACAGGUUUCGCUUGUUGAUAUUUCUGGCAUAUACUUGAUGAAAUAUACAUAAAUAUGUGUUCUUUCGUAUAGGUUUUCACCAGAAUCAAGCAUCAGUUCAAUGGGAACUGGAAUGAUGAAAACACUUGUCGUGCCUCAGAGUGUGGCGCCGAAGAGAAGGACGAGCAGUCAGUGGUGUCUUCGUCUUCGCCGAUUGUGCUGUGCGUAGAUGCGGAAGACCGGCAACCGACGGCAAUAUGUUCAUGUGGCUUCAAGCAUAGGUUAUUCAUGGAGAUAUGCCACAAUUGCCACCUGAGGCCAUUAUGAAUUGUGGUGGGAUGGCACAAACAAGAAGAGAUGGUAUCAGGUGACUUAGUGAUAGUUUUGCUUUGGGAGUAUUAAGAAGAGUGACACGUAUUGUGGUUAAAGUCCGCAAAGAUAUGUUAGCUUUUAUUUUGAAUUGAUGGUUGUGCUCUGGCAUCCACCUUGUAACACUGUAUAGACCUUCUGGUUUGCUCUGUUUGCUAUGCUAUGCUAUAUGCCUGAACAUUUUAAUGAUGUAUUUCUGUUAA